CUCGUAGGCGGCCAACUAAGUCGGACGUGAAAUCCCUCGGCUUAACCGGGGAACUGCGUCCGAUACUGGAUGGCUUGAGUUCGGGAGAGGGAUGCGGAAUUCCAGGUGUAGCGGUGAAAUGCGUAGAUAUCUGGAGGAACACCGGUGGCGAAGGCGGCAUCCUGGACCGACACUGACGCUGAGGAGCGAAAGCCAGGGGAGCAAACGGGAUUAGAUACCCCGGUAGUCCUGGCCCUAAACGAUGAAUGCUUGGUGUGGCGGGUAUCGAUCCCUGCCGUGCCGAAGCUAACGCAUUAAGCAUUCCGCCUGGGGAGUACGGCCGCAAGGCUGAA
RNAcentral lists this ribosomal RNA (332 nucleotides) under uncultured bacterium. Its description in RNAcentral is "bacterial SSU rRNA". It matches the Rfam family "Bacterial small subunit ribosomal RNA", at positions 568 to 898 of the family's 1533-position model. The record is from RNAcentral.